Molecule: ribosomal RNA, 467 nt
Filed under: uncultured bacterium
Lineage: Bacteria
Description: partial 16S ribosomal RNA
Rfam family: Bacterial small subunit ribosomal RNA
Source: RNAcentral
GAUGAACGCUGACAGAAUGCUUAACACAUGCAAGUCCACUUGAAUUUGGGUUUUUAACUUAGGUUUGGGUGGCGGACGGGUGAGUAACGCGUAAAGAACUUGCCUCACAGCUAGGGACAACAUUUGGAAACGAAUGCUAAUACCUAAUAUUAUGAUAAUAGGGCAUCCUAUAAUUAUGAAAGCUAUAAGCGCUGUGAGAGAGCUUUGCGUCCCAUUAGCUAGUUGGAGAGGUAACGGCUCACCAAGGCGAUGAUGGGUAGCCGGCCUGAGAGGGUGAUCGGCCACAAGGGGACUGAGACACGGCCCUUACGCAUACGGGAGGCAGCAGUGGGGAAUAUUGGACAAUGGACCAAGAGUCUGAUCCAGCAAUUCUGUGUGCACGAUGAAGUUUUUCGGAAUGUAAAGUGCUUUCAGUUGGGAAGAAAGAAAUGACGGUACCAACAGAGGAAGUGACGGCUAAAUACGUG